UCCGGGAUGGAGCAGUCUGGUAGCUCGUCGGGCUCAUAACCCGAAGGUCGUUGGUUCAAAUCCAGCUCCCGCUACCA
This 77-nucleotide transfer RNA is filed under the name Acinetobacter modestus. RNAcentral describes it as "tRNA-Met". It matches the Rfam family "tRNA". From Rfam's summary of the family: Transfer RNA (tRNA) molecules are approximately 80 nucleotides in length. Their secondary structure includes four short double-helical elements and three loops (D, anti-codon, and T loops). The record is from RNAcentral. Lineage: Bacteria; Pseudomonadati; Pseudomonadota; Gammaproteobacteria; Moraxellales; Moraxellaceae.